UGGGGAAUAUUGCACAAUGGAGGCAACUCUGAUGCAGCAAUGCCGCGUGUGUGAAGAAGGCCUUAGGGUUGUAAAGCACUUUCAAUAGGGAGGAAAAGCGAAGCUUUAAUAGAGUGAGCCUUGACGUUACCUAUAGAAGAAGGACCGGCUAACUCCGUGCCAGCAGCCGCGGUAAUACGGAGGGUCCGAGCGUUAAUCGGAAUUACUGGGCGUAAAGCGCGCGUAGGCGGAUAAUUAAGUCAGAUGUGAAAUCCCUGGGCUCAACCUAGGAACUGCAUUUGAUACUGGUUAUCUAGAGUAUGGUAGAGGUGAGUGGAAUUUCAGGUGUAGCGGUGAAAUGCGUAGAGAUCUGAAGGAACAUCAGUGGCGAAGGCGACUCACUGGGCCAUUACUGACGCUGAGGUGCGAAAGCGUGGGUAGCAAACA
This 426-nucleotide ribosomal RNA is filed under the name uncultured Gammaproteobacteria bacterium. RNAcentral's name for it is "bacterial SSU rRNA". It matches the Rfam family "Bacterial small subunit ribosomal RNA", at positions 355 to 774 of the family's 1533-position model. Lineage: Bacteria; Pseudomonadati; Pseudomonadota; Gammaproteobacteria. The record is from RNAcentral.